This is a long non-coding RNA of Mastomys coucha (southern multimammate mouse), 746 nucleotides long. RefSeq lists it as uncharacterized. Lineage: Eukaryota; Metazoa; Chordata; Mammalia; Rodentia; Muridae. The record is from RefSeq and is a predicted model, not a curated record. The transcript is spliced from 2 exons.
GGCUGACUGACCAACUGAGAGCUGAGGGCAUGCUGUCCCCUAGAAAUGGCGGCUGAGUUUUCACUGACAGAUCACGGGCCAUUGAGAGAGAGCAUCUCUUCAGGAGGCUUGCUCCCAUGGCCCAGCACCAAAGCCUUUCCACUCCAUUCAACCACCCAACUGUUGAGCACAGACUGAGAGGGCCAACGGCUGCUGCCUUGAGCAGCCCCUCCAGUAGGACCAGGGCUGGAAGUGACUCAUGGUCUUAUCCAAGAGCCACCUUUGACAUCCGGUGUCAGAGUCAUGGGCCUGUGUUUUGUGCCUGAAAGCCAGUUGCUACUGGAGGAAGGCAGCCUGGAAUUCUUAGCAGCAGCUUGUCAUCUGGUCCUCAGUGCGGGUCACACUGUCGCCGUCACCGAGGAGAGUGAGCCUGGGUAUUCAGAAGAGAAGCUUUGCCUCGUGCUGGUUCAGCUCAUUGCAGGAUGAACGAGAGAGUGAGAGAGAGAGAAAGAGAGAGAGGAAGAGGAGGAAGAGGAGGAAGAAGAGGGAAAGAGAAAACUUCUGGCAUUCCUCCCAAGCAUUUCACCCACAAACCGGUUUAGGCCAGUGAGACAGGAUGUUCUGCAGAGCAAAGAUCAUGUGAUCGCCCCAUGUGAACAAACAGAUGGUGUGUCAUUAACAAGCUAGCUGCAGGAUUGCAUUUCUCUGACUCCAGGGUGUCAGUGACCCCAGAGAUUUAAUUAAAAACAUUAAAAAAAAAAUACUGA